Molecule: long non-coding RNA, 875 nt
Filed under: Gallus gallus (chicken)
Lineage: Eukaryota; Metazoa; Chordata; Aves; Galliformes; Phasianidae
Source: RNAcentral
GAACAAGAGACUGCAGUGUUUGACUUGGGGAUAAGAUAGAAUUUUUUACCAAAUAUGUUUAAAGAUAGAGGCUGAAAGGCAGGAACACAUGGGUCAAUCUGCAGGCAGGCUCUUGGCUGUAUCACUCACCUUGUAAUUCUAUACUUCAGAACUCAGUUUCACACCCAGAAGUGGGACAGAAUUUUAGGAUAGCAGUUCUUGAGGCAAAGGGCAUGAAGACUGCAUUAGAAGAGCAGAGAUGGGGAAAGGGAACACCUACCAUGCCUCUGUCAGUGAUCUGUGCAGUCCCAUGGACCAGUGGCUCUUCCAGACCCAGAUUAAGCAAUAGUUUGGGAACCUGUCGAUUUGCUUCAAUAUACAAUGCAAGUGUAUUCACUCGGCAGCACAGUCCCUCUUUCAUUAUAUGGACGUAGCAGCGUACUUUUCCUUCAUGGAGAGUUUCAUUCAUAUCUCCUCUAUGAUCAUUCCAACAAGAGUUAUCUGGAGCAGGUUUCAGCAAGCUAUUAUCUUCCUUUAUGAAACUAUAAAUGUCUAGAGAUGCUUGUUCUUUCUUCUUUCGGCCCUCUUCUUUGUUGUCCAGUCCGUGCUGCAAUGAUGUAGGAGAAGAGAACUGUUUCCUAACCAGAUGUGGGAUCAGCUCACUCCGGAGAGAUGUGAUUGUCCUGUUUUCUACAAGGAAGUCUACCACAUAUUUCUUCAGACAGUAGAGAUGGGCAUCCAUCAGCCCUGUUCUGAUGUGCAUCCUGGGGUGCUUCUGCAGGAUGGAUCUUUUAAUGACAAGUUCUUCAUCUAGGUCAGCUUCAUUAGCCAUGAAGAGCAAUCUUUUUCCUGUGUCAUCCACUCCAAUGAAGUCCCGCUGCUCCACAGGCUUUUUC